CUUAUGAGCAUUUUGUUACCACUAUUAUGCAUGGUAAAGAAACUGUGAAAUUUGAAGAUGUGUCAAAUGCCUUAAUGAAUUAUGAAAUGAGGCAUAGAGAUAAAAAUCAUGAUAGUAACUCUGAAGCUUUAUUUGUUAGAGGUAGAUCAUCGGAGAGGAGGUCAUCUUCUAGUAGGAAAAAAUCACAGUCUCGACCUAGAGGAAACUCUAAAGGUAGAAAAACCUUUGGAAAGGGAUGAAUGUGCCUUUUGUCAUAAUAAGGGUCAUUGGAAGAAAGAUUGUCCUAAGUUGAAGACCAAAGGAAAAGAAAGUUCUGAAGCUAAUGUUGCUGAGGUUGAAACAGAUUUUUCUGAUUUUGCUUUAACCACUUCCUCAUCUUUUGAUUGUGCUACUAAAUGGGUGUUGGAUACGGGUUGUACUCAUCAUAUGACUCCUCACAAGGAUUGGUUUUCAAGCUUGAAAGAGUUUGAUAGUGGCGUUGUGUUCAUGGGAGAUGACAAUCCUUGCACAACAAAAGGGAUUGGUACAGUUCGUUUGAAGUUGCAUGAUGGCAUGGUUAAAGAGUUGACAGGUGUUCGGUAUGUACCGAAUUUGAAGAAAAAUCUUAUUUCUUUGGGUACUUUGGAAUCCAAGGGUUUCAGGUUUCAUUCAGAUGGACAGACAUUGAAAGUUACUUAUGGUGCACUUGUUGUGAUGAAAGCUCCUAGAUGUGGCCAUUUGUAUUUAUUGCAGGGGAAGCACUGUGACAGGUGAAGCAUUUGUAGUCUCUGAAAAUAUGGGCACAUCUGAUUCAGAUACUACUAGACUGUGGCAUAUGAGAUUAGGCCAUGCCGGUGAGAAAGCUCUACAAGGGCUUGUGAAACAAGGUCUUCUAAAAGGUGCCACGACUUGUAAGCUUGAUUUCUGCGAGCAUUGUGUCUUGGGGAAGCAAACUAGAGUGAAGUUUGGUAAUGCUGUACAUCAGACGAAGGGCAUUCUUGAUUAUGUGCAUUCGGAUGUUUGGGGUCCUACAAAGACUCCCUCUUUGAGUGGUAGACAUUGGUUCGUGACCUUUGUUGAUGAUUAUUCAAGAAGGUCUUGGGUCUACACUAUGAAGCACAAGAGUGAGGUGUUGAGCAUUUUCUUGAGUUGGAAGAAAAUGGUUGAGAACCAGACUGGGAGAAAGAUUAAGAUUUUGAGAUCGGAUAAUGGUGGUGAAUACACAUCCGACCCUUUCUUUAAAGUUUGCAAAGAGGAAGGAAUUGUGAGACAUUUUUAGUGUUCGGGGAACUCCACAACAAAAUGGAGUUGCAGAAAGAUUGAAUCGAACCUUGCUUGAGAAGGUUAGAUGUAUGUUGUCUCAGUCGGGUUUAAGCAAGUCAUUUUGGGCAGAAGCAGUUAAUUAUGCAUGUCACAUCAUCAACCGGUUACCUUCAGCUGCUAUUCAGGGUAAGACACCAAUGGAGGUAUGGACUGGAAAACCUUCUUCUGAUUAUGAUCAUAUUCGUAUUUUUUGGUUCACCUGCUUAUUUUCAUGUAACUGAAAAUAAACUUGAUCCUAGAGCCAAAAAGGCUAUCUUUCUUGGUUUUAGUAGUGGUGUCAAAGGUUACAGGUUGUGGUGUCCAGAGAUGAAGAAACUGGUAAUUAGUAGAGAUGUGACAUUUGACGAAUAAAGUAUGUACAAAGUCUCUGAGAAGAAUGUGAAAGAUGUCCAACAGGUGGAGCUUGAGAAAGUUGCCUCUGGUACUUCAAAUCCUAUUUCCGCUGAUGUCGAAGCCACUACAAGUGAAGAAGUGGGAGACCAUGAGGAUGUUGAAGAAGUUGAACUUGAAGAUUCUAUUCAAGUUGAAGAGCAGCAAGUUUCACCUCAAGAGUCUAUUGCCAAGAACAGAGGAAAGAGACAAAUUACCAAGCCAGCUCGGUAUAGUGACUAUGUUUCUUUUGCUCUUCCUAUUAUCACUGAUGAGAUUCCAUCCAAUUUCGAGGAAGCCAUUGAGAGUGAGGAGAAGGAGAGGUGGUGGUGCAAUGCCAUGGGUGAUGAGAUGAAUUCUCUCUUGAAGAACAAGACUUGGGAGUUAGCUAAAUUGCCUAAGGGCAAGAAAGCUAUUGGUUGCAAAUGGGUGUAUGCCAAGAAGGAAGAUGCUGAUGAGAAAAGCAAUGUGAGAUUCAAAGCAAGAUUAGUUGCUAAAGGGUAUGCACAAAAGGAGGGCAUUAACUACAAUGAAAUCUUUUCUCCGGUUGUGAAGCACUCCUCAAUUCGCAUUAUGUUAGCUCUUGUUGCACAGUAUGAUCUUGAGCUUGUGCAACUUGAUGUGAAGACGGCUUUCCUACAUGGUGAUUUGAAUGAAGAGAUUUAUAUGUGUCAACCGGAUGGGUAUAUAGUGAAAGGGAAGGAGAAUUUGUUUUGCAAAUUGAAGAAAUCACUUUAUGGCUUGAAGCAAUCUCCAAGACAAUGGUAUUUGAGGUUUGAUAAAUUUAUGAGAGGCCAAAAUUAUUCUAGAAGUCAAUAUGAUCAUUUGUGUGUACUUCAAGAAGUUGCAAGAUGGGUCUUUCAUUUAUUUAUUGAUAUAUGUUGAUGAUAUGUUGAUUGCUUCAAAGAAUGUUGAAGAGAUUGAGAAAUUGAAGAAAACAAAUGAAGAAUGAGUUUGAGAUGAAGGAUCUUGGUGAAGCAAAGAAGAUCCUUGGCAUGGAGAUCACUCGAGAUAGAGAGAAAGGUUUGGUCAGUUUGAAUCAAAGACAAUACCUUGAGAAGUUGAUUCGGAAGUUUGGAGUUCAUGAUUCAACCAAACCGGUUAGUACCCCUUUGGCUCCUCAUUUUAAAUUGAGUUCUCUACAAUGUCCUAAAAAUGAUAAAGAGAAGCUGCAAAUGAAAAAUAUACCAUAUGCAAAUUUGGUUGGUAGUUUGAUGUAUGCAAUGGUAUGCUCUAAACCGGAUAUUGCUCAUGCAGUUGGCAUGGUGAGUCGAUAUAUGCAUAAUCCAGGUAAAGAGCAUUGGCAAGCAGCUAAGUGGAUAUUGAGGUAUCUCCAUGGUACUCGAGAUGUUGGUUUAUGCUUUGAGAGAGAUGACUCUGGUAUUGGUCAUUUUGCAGUUGGUUAUGUUGAUUCAGAUUAUGCAGGUGAUCUGGAUGGAAGGAAGUCUACUACAGGCUAUGUGUUUACUAUGGCUAAAGGACCAGUUUGUUGGAGGUCGAUUUUGCAGUCGUCUGUUGCCUUGUCUACUACAGAGGCUGAAUAUAUGGCAGUUGCUGAAGCUAUAAAGGAGGCCAUUUGGAUACAUGGGUUGAUUAGAGAUUUGGGGGUUGAUCAGAAGCAGGUGGAGGUACAUUGUGAUAGUCAGAGUGCCAUUUAUUUGGCUAAGUAUCAGGUUCAUCAUGCGAGGACCAAGCACAUAGAUGUGCGUUAUCACUUUGUUCGUGAAAUUGUUGGUGAAGGGGAAAUCAUUCUCCAGAAGAUUCCAACUAAAGACAACCCCGCUGAUAUGUUGACUAAGGUUGUUGGUGUAGCCAAGUUUGUUCACUGUUUGAACUUGGCUCACAUUAUGCCUAUAUAAAGAAGGCGUUGAGCAGUAGGAGUUUUGGAGCAUUUGGCUUGGCAUGAGUUGUUCUCUUGCUAGUGUUUGGGAGUGAUUUUUGUGUUGAUUGUGUUGGUUGGCUUAUCAUGGUGUUUUCGGAAGUUGGCCAAGGUGGAGAUUGUUGAAUUAUGGCCAAACAAACAACUUUCGGCUAUUAAAAAAAAAAGGAAAAGAAAAAGGGACAACAUUAUGAUGUUUCUUCCUUGUUUUGGGGAAAAGAAAAGCACUUUGUCUAAAGUUUUCUUGGUCCAUGGGAAAUCACGGGGUGACUUGAAUGAAUGGCUAUGUUAUGAUAAGGAAGCUGCUGCCCUUUGUUUUUUUAAGUGAGCAGAAAAUUGGUGAGCCGAAGAGAAGAGAGGGAGAGAAAGAAGGUACUGUUGCAGUACCAUUUUGAGAGAAGGAGUUGUUGUUCCUUUCAUUGGAUAGUUCUCACUCCAUCAAAGUGUUAUUGUUGUAAUAGCUUUGAGCUUUGUAUAGAGAAGAAAUUAAUCACGAUAUUUCUUUCUCUAUUUGUUUCUUUAGAGUGUGAGAGUUAUUGGGUGUAUUGGGUUAUUUGGGUUGUGAGAUUGCCAACACUUUGUAAACUCCCAUUUGGUUGAUAGUGGAUUAUUGGGUGAGCUCCUACUGCUUCGAGGAUGUACUCCAGUUACACUGACUGUUGAGGAACCUCGUUAAAAUCUUGGUGUCUUUAAUAUUUUGUUCUUGCAUUUCAUUUGAUAUAUUUCUUGUGAGUUAUCAAGAGUUGGUUCCAACGGGUUUGGUGCUAUCUUAGCACAACAAUUGGUAUCAGAGCACUGGUUGCUCUUGGGUACUGUCUAGUUGCCAAAGAUGUCAGACGGGCAAGAUGAGAAUCCUUUUGGAAGCAGCUCCGGGUUUGCAAGAACUACGGUGCAAAAUGCAAAGUUUGAAGUGGAAAAGUUUGAUGGCACAAACAACUUCGGGAUGUGGCAAUGUGAGGUCAAAGAUAUGUUGGCUCAACAAGAUCUACUUGCCGCUUUAGGAGAGAAGCCGGAAGCUAUGUCGAAGCCAGAAUGGGAAAAAUUAAAUUUGUGGGCUUGCUCUUCAAUUCGGUUGUGCCUUGCAAAAACUCAAAAGUAUUUUGUGAUGCGGGAGACGGUAGCAAGUGUGUUGUGGCAAAAAUUGGAAGACAAGUAUAUGACGAAGAGUGCAGAGAACCGGCUACACUUGAAGAAAAAAGCUCUACCCGCUUUCAAUUCAAAGAAGGUACAAAAAAUGAUUAGACACCUUGAUGCUUUUAAAUAAGUUGAUUGCCGACUUGUUAAAUUUAGAUGAGGAUAUUAAGGAUGAAGAUAAGGCCUUAAUAUUGUUGAAUUCCUUGCCGGACUCUUAUGAGCAUUUUGUUACCACUAUUAUGCAUGGUAAAGAAACUGUGAAAUUUGAAGAUGUGUCAAAUGCCUUAAUGAAUUAUGAAAUGAGGCAUAGAGAUAAAAAUCAUGAUAGUACCUCUGAAGCUUUAUUUGUUAGAGGUAGAUCAUCGGAGAGGAGGUCAUCUUCUAGUAGGAAAAAAUCACAGUCUCGACCUAGAGGAAACUCUAAAGGUAGAAAACCUUUGGAAAGGGAUGAAUGUGCCUUUUGUCAUAAUAAGGGUCAUUGGAAGAAAGAUUGUCCUAAGUUGAAGACCAAAGGAAAAGAAAGUUCUGAAGCUAAUGUUGCUGAGGUUGAAACAGAUUUUUCUGAUUUUGCUUUAACCACUUCCUCAUCUUUUGAUUGUGCUACUAAAUGGGUGUUGGAUACGGGUUGUACUCAUCAUAUGACUCCUCACAAGGAUUGGUUUUCAAGCUUGAAAGAGUUUGAUGGUGGCGUUGUGUUCAUGGGAGAUGACAAUCCUUGCACAACAAAAGGGAUUGGUACAGUUCGUUUGAAGUUGCAUGAUGGCAGUACCAAUAAGGCACCCCAAACAUCCGAAUGCACAUAAUUCAAGAUGAGGCACCUUAUUGUCUGUUCUCAAUGGGUGCCUCAUCUUGAAUUGUAUACAGAAUUUUCUCGUGAGGAAGAAGAUAAGCAACCCUUCUCUUCCAUAUACGAUGAUUGACAUUAUUGAGCCUCUCAAUUCUGAUCGAUUCAAACUUACUAGCCAUUUCACAAAUUUAAUGAUACUAACAACUACAAACAAUAAGGGAAAUAGAAACAGAAUAAUAUACUACUAAACUUGAUUUAAUAAACAAUAAACUUACUAAACUAAGUUGAUCACGUUUGUCCUGCACACACUUCCCAAAAAGAAGUUACUAUCUGGAAAAUGAAAUGUGUUUUUUCUAUAUUUGAUUUGCAGUGCACAGUUUCCAAUUCCUCUUGAAUGAAAUGUAUGUUUGCGAUAUUUGAGAUAUUAUAUAUACUAAAUAUAACCGCUUGGAGGAGUUCUAGUGGUUGAAAUUGAUGGUUUAUGUUAACUGAGAAUACAGAUUUGCAGAAACACAAUACUUCUAUUCCUCUCAGGUCUGGUUACAGAACUCUCUUCAGUACAUAAUCAAGACGACGUUUCGUAUUCCUUGUUUGAAUGAAAGACAAAACUAUAAAUCCAAUUGCAAUUUGAAUUAGAUCCCCAGCGGAAGCCAACAAACGAAAACGCUGAGACUAUCGUCUGCAGUCGAUCGUUGUCUGAUUCCGUGUAUGAUAACAGAGAACCAAUGCUCGAUACCACUAAUGGAAUUUAGCACGAUUGUCACAGGAUCAAACUCUAAUGUUGUUAGACUAUUGAUUACUAUGUGGUAAUGCCAAGGGAGAAAAAAAGGGAAGAAGAGAGUUUGUUUCACAUUUGAUAAUUUGUCUAGAGGAAUGAAUCCUCCUUUUAUAGACUUCAUCACACCCUUUUCAUAGAGUUGUGAGACUUCUCUGAAUGGUCUUAUCCUUUCAUGAUAAGACAUAUCACUUAUAGAAGGGUAUAACUCUUAUGAUAAGUCAUACCUCUUAUCACACCCUUUGGUUAAGUGUAUAUCAGUACACCAAUCUUAUGGUGCACCUCCAAACAUCAAAUACACACAUAGUAACGCCAACAUCAUCAUGAUCAUAUUCCAACAUGCAGGAGUUUUGAUGGCAUUGUUUCAACAUAUGAUAAGAUUCAGACUGCACCAACUCAGUAGAUCGAUCGAUUUGUCCAGCUGUCCGCUGUCGGAUGUCUUGUGCAAGCAGAUCAGCAGC
Molecule: long non-coding RNA, 6707 nt
Filed under: Malus domestica (apple)
Lineage: Eukaryota; Viridiplantae; Streptophyta; Magnoliopsida; Rosales; Rosaceae
Description: long non-coding RNA (MDOM_LNC004801)
Source: RNAcentral